AUUGAACGCUGGCGGCAGGCCUAACACAUGCAAGUCGAGCGGCAGCGGAAAGUAGCUGCUACUUUGCCGGCGAGCGGCGGACGGGUGAGUAAUGUCUGGGAAACUGCGUGAUGGAGGGGGAUAACUACUGGAAACGGCAGCUAAUACCGCAUGACCUCGAAAGAGCAAAGUGGGGGAUCUUCGGACCUCACGCCAUCGGGUGUGCCCAGAUGGGAUUAGCUAGUAGGUGAGGUAAUGGCUCACCUAGGCGACGAUCCCUAGCUGGUCUGAGAGGAUGACCAGCCACACUGGAACUGAGACACGGUCCAGACUCCUACGGGAGGCAGCAGUGGGGAAUAUUGCACAAUGGGCGCAAGCCUGAUGCAGCCAUGCCGCGUGUGUGAAGAAGGCCUUAGGGUUGUAAAGCACUUUCAGCGAGGAGGAAGGCAUCAUACUUAAUACGUGUGGUGAUUGACGUUACUCGCAGAAGAAGCACCGGCUAACUCCGUGCCAGCAGCCGCGGUAAUACGGAGGGUGCAAGCGUUAAUCGGAAUUACUGGGCGUAAAGCGCACGCAGGCGGUUUGUUAAGUCAGAUGUGAAAUCCCCGCGCUUAACGUGGGAACUGCAUUUGAAACUGGCAAGCUAGAGUCUUGUAGAGGGGGGUAGAAUUCCAGGUGUAGCGGUGAAAUGCGUAGAGAUCUGGAGGAAUACCGGUGGCGAAGGCGGCCCCCUGGACAAAGACUGACGCUCAGGUGCGAAAGCGUGGGGAGCAAACAGG
Molecule: ribosomal RNA, 758 nt
Filed under: uncultured Enterobacteriaceae bacterium
Lineage: Bacteria; Pseudomonadati; Pseudomonadota; Gammaproteobacteria; Enterobacterales; Enterobacteriaceae
Description: bacterial SSU rRNA
Rfam family: Bacterial small subunit ribosomal RNA
Source: RNAcentral